CAGAGUUGCAAAACUCCUAAACCCUCUGUGAACGAACUUAAUAGUUGCCUCGGCGGAAGGCUCUUCAGUGAGCCGCCCGCCGAAGGCCCCCCUUAAAUUCUUGUUUUUUUGGCAUCUCUGAGUAACUUAUAAAUAAGUUA
RNAcentral lists this unclassified non-coding RNA (140 nucleotides) under uncultured Lasiosphaeriaceae. RNAcentral describes it as "sequence contains ITS1". The record is from RNAcentral. Lineage: Eukaryota; Fungi; Ascomycota; Sordariomycetes; Sordariales; Lasiosphaeriaceae.